This 300-nucleotide ribosomal RNA is filed under the name uncultured Spiroplasma sp. RNAcentral describes it as "bacterial SSU rRNA". It matches the Rfam family "Bacterial small subunit ribosomal RNA", at positions 496 to 795 of the family's 1533-position model. The record is from RNAcentral. Lineage: Bacteria; Bacillati; Mycoplasmatota; Mollicutes; Entomoplasmatales; Spiroplasmataceae.
UCGAACGCGUGGCCAGCAGGAGGGGGUAUAAGGGGGGUGGAAGCUGUAAACGGAAGAACUAGGCGGAAAGAGAAUGUAGGCUGGUUUGUAAGGUGGAAGUGAAAUCCUAUGGCGUAACCAUAGAACUGCUUCCAAAACUACUUACCUAGAAUAUGGGAGAGGUAGAUGGAAUUUCUGGUGUAGGGGUAAAAUCCGUAGAGAUCAGAAGGAAUACCGAUUGCGAAGGCGAUCUACUGGAACAUUAUUGACGCUCAGAUGCGAAAGCGUGGGGAGCAAACAGGAUUAGAUACCCUUGUAGUC